This 2697-nucleotide ribosomal RNA is filed under the name Triticum aestivum (bread wheat). RNAcentral's name for it is "partial small subunit ribosomal RNA". Lineage: Eukaryota; Viridiplantae; Streptophyta; Magnoliopsida; Poales; Poaceae. The record is from RNAcentral.
AUGCAUCGCCUCGAAACCUUGCACUUGAACAGAAACACGCUGCAAGGAAGGAUACCGAGUUUUGCAAACUGCUCAAAGCUCAAGGAGUUGGAUGUUUCGGUUAACAAUCUAGUUGGCCAAUUUCCCGGUGAUUUGCCUCCUCAUCUUCACAUGCUGCAAGUUUCAUUUAAUAACCUUACUGGCAUCAUCCCAGCUUCUCUGGGUAAUAUCACAACACUAGUCUUCAUUAGUUGCGCGCAUAAUCGAAUCAAGGGAAAUAUCCCAAGUGAGUUUGCAGGUUUGCCAGGCUUGCAGUACCUGUAUGCGGGUGCAAAUCAGCUAACAAGUAGGUUUCCACAAGCCAUCUUGAAUGUUUCUACUCUCAUCGGCCUUGGCUUAACUCUCAAUGGUCUAAGUGGGGAGCUGCCACCAAAUCUUUGUACCUCUCUCGCCAAUCUCCGUAUACUUACAUUAGGUGGCAACUUAUUUCUAGGGCACAUUCCUAGUUCAUUCACUAAUGCUUCCAAUCUAAGUGUCAUUGAUUUAUCAACGAACAACUUCACCAGAUUGGUUCCCACCACGAUGAGCAAACUUACCAAACUCUCAAUGUUGAAUCUUGAAAAUAAUCAGCUCCAAGCACAUAGUGGAGAAGACUGGGAGUUUUUGGACAGCUUAGGCAACUGCACAGAGCGACAAAUAUUGUCCAUGAGUGUCAAUUGUCUAUCAGGGCAUGUACCAAGUUCAAUAGCUAACCUUUCCAACAAACUCCAGCAGACUCUGUACUUGGGAGAAAAUCAACUAUCAGGAAAUUUCCCUUCCGGCAUAGCCAACCUUCACAAUCUAGUUGCUGUGUCAGUGGGGGGGAAUCACUUCACAGGUAUCGUUCCAGAGUGGAUUGGGACUCUCAAAAAUUUGCAACAAGUAGAUUUAGCAGCAAACUUCUUUACGGGGGUCAUUCCAUCAUCCUUGUCAAACUUGUCUCAACUGGGACAGCUCUAUGUAGCCUCAAACCAAUUCAUUGGCCACAUACCGAAAAGCUUUGGUAACUUUCCAAGGCUUCAAUAUUUGGACACUGCUAGCAACAACCUUCAUGGUAGGGUUCCAAUGGAGAUAUUCAGAAUCCCGUCAAUAAUUGCAAUUGAUUUAUCUUUCAACAACCUGGAUGGACAACUUCCUACCAACAUUGGCAAUGCUAAACAACUCGUACAUUUGGUACUUUCAUCCAAUAAGCUAUCUGGAGAUAUUCCAAACACUCUGGGUGACUGUGGAAGUUUAGAAUACAUUGAGUUAGACUCGAAUAUUUUCAGCGGAAGCAUUCCCACUUCAUUAGGCAGCAUAAGAGGCCUAAAAGUUUUGAAUAUUUCUGCCAAUAACUUAACUGGUUCAAUACCAACAUCUCUUGGCAACCUACAAGUUCUUGAGAAACUAGAUUUGUCAUUCAACCACCUCAAUGGUGAGGUUCCAACAAAAGGGAUAUUCAAGAAUGCAACUGCCGUGCAAAUUGAUGGAAAUCAGGGGCUUUGUGGUGGGGUACCGGAGUUACACAUACUAGCAUGUUUUGUUAUGCCUCCAGAUUCAAUUAGGAACAAGAAAUCUUUGGUGCUAAAAGUGGUUAUCCCAAUAGCGAGUAUGGUGUCAAUUGUUAUUGUCAUAUUUUGCUUCUUUCUCCGGGGAGGGAAACACAAGAGAAAAUCUAUAUCUCUGCCAUCAUUUUCUACAAAAUUUCCCAUGGUUUCUUUCAAUGAUCUAGCCAGAGCAACACAGGGAUUCUCAGUAUCCAACUUAAUAGGCAGAGGGAGAUAUAGUUCUGUUUACCAAGGAAAACUAGUUGAAGAUGAAAAUGAGGUUGCCGUGAAAGUCUUCAACCUAGAGACAAGAGGAGCACAAAAGAGCUUCAUCUCAGAAUGUAACGCGUUGAGAAAUGUGCGGCACCGUAGUUUGGUCCCUAUAAUAACUGUGUGCUCAAGCAUUGAUUCUAGUGGUAAUGAUUUCAAGGCCCUAGUGUAUGAGCUCAUGCCGCGAGGGGAUUUGCAUAAACUACUAUACUCAACUCCAGACUAUGAAGGCUCUUCGGAUUUGAACCUUAUUACGAUUGGUCAAAGGAUAAGCAUCGUGGUGGAUGUAGCGGAUGCACUGGAGUACCUACACCAUAACAACCAAGAAGCACUGGUUCACUGUGAUCUGAAGCCUAGCAACAUUCUUUUGAAUGACAAUAUGACAGCUCAUGUUGGAGACUUUGGCUUGGCAAGAUUCAAAGUUGGUUCCACAACGUCAUCUCACGGUAACUCUUCUUCAAUUGCAGUGAUGGGAACAAUUGGAUACACUGCUCCGGAAUACGCAGAGGGUGGCCAAGUUUCAACUGCCGCAGAUGUUUACAGCUUCGGUGUCGUUCUUCUCGAGAUAUUCAUUCGAAGGAGGCCGACUGACGACAUGUUUAAGGAUGGACUCAGCAUUGUGAAGUUUACAGAGGCCAGCUUCCCUGAUAGGGUAUCGGUGAUUUUCGACCCCCAGCUGCUAAAAGAGUUGGAUGAAACUCCAAUAGCCUUCAAGGAAAAACAUGUACAUUGUCUGCUAUCUGUGCUAAAUGUUGGCCUUUGCUGCACUAAGACACCCCCAGGCGAACGCAUCAACAUGCAGGAGGUGGCUGCUAAGCUACAUGGAAUCAAGGAUGCAUAUCUCAGAAGCAGUGCCGUUGCUUCAGUGGCAGUACCUGAAUAA